CGCUAAUGCAGAACACAACGGUAAACACACUAACACUGUUUUCUAAGCAAUUGGAAAGGAUAAACUAGCGAAGUCUUUCGAAGAGUUUUUUUAGCCGGAAUAUUUGAAUGUUUGCUGCUUAUUCAUCAAUAGGAAAAAAGGGUUUAUAUUCUUUGGGGAUUCCGUGUUUACAAAACACUGAGUUUUUUCUGUAACUUAGGGUAAGAUGGAUUCUACAUUGCAUGUUUUUUAAGUAUUUUGAUUAUUGUAAGCAUUUUUUUACUAUUCGACUUGACUCUGUUAAGAAAAAUUUAUUAUUUAAACGGGAACAGAUUAAAAAAAUCGAUAGUUAACCAAUAUCCCUUGUCUUCCUACAAGACUUUGUUAAUUCCAAUUUUUUAUCAUUGUUAUUUUGGGCAUUAGUUUUUAAGCUAAGAACUUCUACCCGAUAUGUAAGUAUGAAAAAAAAAAAAGGUAGAAAAAUUAUAUCAUGAAACAUUAGCUAGCGAAAGAAAAUGCGCCAAUAAGUCUAUCCAAAUUCGUUUUCUCUUUGUCUUCAAAUGUUCAGGGGUAAAAACGAUCAUUUUAUUUACUUUGUAUUAUUUUAAUUAAAUCGUGGGGUGAUGAAACAAAUAUUGGUCUAACUAUUCUCUCAAUCAGUCGUUUACAGUAACCGAGAGGUAGAAGAAGAACAAAGAAUUCAUUUGAGUGUUUAACUAAGGGAAAAAGAAUUCCUUGUACAUUCAAUGGAUGAGAAUGUUAAGGAAUGCAAAAUUGCGAAAAAAUAUUAAAAUGAGCGAGAAAAUACGAAAUAAAACAGAGGCUAUAAUAAGAUAAAGAA
Molecule: non-coding RNA, 820 nt
Organism: Schizosaccharomyces pombe (fission yeast)
Lineage: Eukaryota; Fungi; Ascomycota; Schizosaccharomycetes; Schizosaccharomycetales; Schizosaccharomycetaceae
Source: the annotation of a GenBank genome assembly